Molecule: ribosomal RNA, 384 nt
Filed under: Triticum aestivum (bread wheat)
Lineage: Eukaryota; Viridiplantae; Streptophyta; Magnoliopsida; Poales; Poaceae
Description: partial small subunit ribosomal RNA
Source: RNAcentral
AUGAUUGGUUCUUUAUUGUAUUUAUGUGCAUCUAGGACAGAUAUAAUGCUUAGUGUUUGCAUGUGUGCCCGAUUUCAAGGUACACCGAAGGAAUCACACCAUAAGGCUGUGAAGCAUAUUCUUCGAUAUCUAGCUCACACACCAACACUUGGAUUACGGUACCCCAAGGGCUCGGCUUUUGAUCUCACUGGAUAUUCUGACUCUGACUAUGCUGGUGAUCGUGUGGACCGCAAGUCAACAUCUGGUACAUGUCGUUUCCUCGGACGAUCUUUGGUCUGUUGGUCCUCGAAGAAACAGAACUGCGUAUCACUGUCUACUUCUGAAGCUGAGUACAUUGCUGCUGGUUCUUGCUGUGCUCAAUUGCUGUACAUUGCGUCAACGUGA